CUUGAGCUCUCUCUAGCCGAGAACUUGCUGGAAGGCAGACCUGAGCUGAGAGCAUUGGUAAAGCCAGAAUUCUACGUGAGGAAACAACUGGAUCAGCACGAGCAGCAAUGCUAGGGGGCGGCCAGACACCGCUGGAUCAUGCUAUGAGCUCCGCAAAGGCUAAAGAGCUGGAGUGAAUUCGUACCACGCUCUCGGCCCUGGAAAAUCAAAUGAGCUCCACAGCCUACGGGAGGGGAUCCCUACCGUGGAAAGCUCUUGAGUUCCAUCUGUAACCUGCUUCUUUCAGGGAGAGUCGCCUGGUGGGGGUUCCUAGGGCCACUUUGCCCUGGACACUUCUUGGACCCGAUACGCAGUCCCAGCUGUUCCAUCGUGCUCUAGGGUCAUUGGUAUCUCCGGGGUCUUCAGCAGCUGUGCCACCUGGGAGGCCCAGGCACUUCCUGGUGUGGUGCCUCUGAGCCUCAUUAAUGCCACCCCAGGUUUGAAACCUGUGACACUUCAGCUUCUUCUGAGUGGAAGUUUCACCUUUGCCCCCUGAAGGAAAGGUUUGCUAAGCAAAGAAAAUUUGGGGGAUAAGAUCCUUGUGGAGGUAAGAGUUGAUCUUCAACUGCCACCAGAACCCAUCUCCUGACAGGCCUCUGCAUCACGGUACCUGCAUGUCGCUUAGAGCUGAGGCACAUCUGGUUUAGGACGAGGGCUUGGCAAGGCAGCCUCUUGGAAGCACCUUAUCAGAGUUUACUUUGGAUUUAACAUUAGGCUUCUUUAGAGACAGCCUGAUGAAUUCAUGGUGGUGACCCCACCACCUGGAGCCACCUAAAAUGAGAAGAUUUACUGUACCACAUUACUGCCACACCAUGUCAGGCAGUAAGUGAGAAACUCCAAACCAGCUGCUGUAAAAAAAAAUCAACAACAGAGCAUUCAUAGAGCAGACACUUUGUACUGCUGCACGAUAAACGAUCCCAUUGAGUGCAGGCAGCCUCCGGUUCAUCCACCUGCUCCCUGUCUGUCCCGACCCUGGGCCGGUUACACUUGUGGCCUCCUCCCCGUGAGAACCCUGGAGCGGCAGAAACAGCCUGAGCCUCUGCACUGCUCCUCUGCCCGCAACACUGUAGAGUACUCCUCAAAUGCCUCCUCCUCCAGCUGGCUGAGUUCGUAACUUCCUAUCUGCUCUCUGCCCAGCGAGUGUUCUCAAGCAGAGUGACCAGCCUCGCGCUGGCAGUUCUCAUCAGCCAGGCCCAUCAUUCUAAAAUCUCGAAAAUCAGCUAUAUGGACCUGGCCGUAGAGGCCUGCCAGCGCUGGAGGACACGGGAGAAAAAGCUUAGGCCUUUAACAGAAGCAAGGCCGUUGUGCCACUGGUCUUCCUGGACCAUGAGGAACUUGCCCUGUUGCUUUGCCUAGGACUGAGCUGACAGCUUCUUUCUGAUUUGCAGCCAUUGUUCAGAGCAAGGCAGGGUUCUCCACCAUUGCAGCGCGUGAGUUAGGCAGUGGUUCCUAGGGUCUCCCAGGGCCCCACACUGGACAGCAUCAUUAGCACCACACCCGCCACCCACAGCAAGGUAGCCAACAGAACCUUUAGAGAAGAGCCUUCAGCAGCUGGAAUGUCGAGGAGAGCGGUAGCGUGUGAGGCCUGGCAGAGCUAUGACGGCGUUCUUUCCAUAGUGCCCUGAGCCCGCUCCAAGGCCCGUGACAGACCCUCAUUCAAAGCCCAUUGCUUCAAAGUGCGCAGUGCCACCUGCGAACUGUGUGGCUGGGAGGCGGGUUUGGUCAUAGGUGUUUGAGUAGGAGGGUCCACAGGAAGGUGCUGCGGGGGCCAGUCCUGGGUUGAUGAUACCGUAAGACCUUGUGCAGAGAGGGACUGUUAGUGUCUUUCUGGGGUCCCCCAUGGGCCACCGGCGUGGGGGCUGGGAGGGCUGAGGAGGGGAGAUCCUGAGUUGGAUUACGAGACUGGCCCAGCCUCACGUGCGAGGUGUUGAAAAAGAAACCUUCCAGAGGGCCCCUCCUCAAUCCUGUUGUACUAGAUUCAGAGGGUUGGGUGGAGGCUCUCCUGAAGGCCUCUCAGUAACACCGAACCCACGGGCCAUGCGUCAGGCGCUAAGAUGGGGUGGUUGGUGCAAGAGGAGAGCCACCGUUUUCUGCCUGGUCCCCUACCACGGGCAGAGGGCAUGGGCAUGGGACCAUCACCUGCCUGGUCCCCUACAGUGCUCAGAGGGCAUGGGCAUGGGGUCUGGCUGCGCUGUUCCUCUGUUCUGUUUCCAGGGCUCCCCGCUGCUCAGGACCACCGCAGCCGCCUCACCUCGGCCUUGAAACCUGCAGGACCCAGCACCGCCCACCGCCAUGCCUGCUCCCCCUCCUGAGGCUCUUCCCGCCCUCUCUGCCGCAUCCACAGGGAAGCCCCCCACUCCUCACUUGGCUUCACGGCACCUGAGCAUCUCGGUCUUUGCUGGACGAUUCGUUCGUCGUCUGACUCUGCUAGACUGCGAGCUCCAAGCUGCCUUGUGCAUUGUUAUGUCAUCUAGCUUGUCUCCACACGUGACACACAGCAGGUGCCUAAUAAACUUGUGCAGAAAGA
This is a long non-coding RNA of Lemur catta (Ring-tailed lemur), 2566 nucleotides long. RefSeq lists it as uncharacterized. The record is from RefSeq and is a predicted model, not a curated record. The transcript is spliced from 4 exons. Lineage: Eukaryota; Metazoa; Chordata; Mammalia; Primates; Lemuridae.